AUUGAACGCUGGCGGCAGGCCUAACACAUGCAAGUCGAGCGGAUGAGAGGAGCUUGCUCCUCGAUUCAGCGGCGGACGGGUGAGUAAUGCCUAGGAAUCAGCCUAGUAGUGGGGGACAACGUUUCGAAAGGAACGCUAAUACCGCAUACGUCCUACGGGAGAAAGUGGGGGAUCUUCGGACCUCACGCUAUUAGAUGAGCCUAGGUCGGAUUAGCUAGUUGGUAGGGUAACGGCCUACCAAGGCGACGAUCCGUAACUGGUCCGAGAGGAUGAUCAGUCACACUGGAACUGAGACACGGUCCAGACUCCUACGGGAGGCAGCAGUGGGGAAUAUUGGACAAUGGGCGAAAGCCUGAUCCAGCCAUGCCGCGUGUGUGAAGAAGGCCCUCGGGUCGUAAAGCACUUUAAGUUGGGAGGAAGGGCUUACAGCGAAUACCUGUGAGUUUUGACGUUACCGACAGAAUAAGCACCGGCUAACUUCGUGCCAGCAGCCGCCGUAA
This 500-nucleotide ribosomal RNA is filed under the name uncultured bacterium. Its description in RNAcentral is "partial 16S ribosomal RNA". It matches the Rfam family "Bacterial small subunit ribosomal RNA", at positions 30 to 523 of the family's 1533-position model. The record is from RNAcentral.